GCCGAAUUCAUAUUAGAGACGGGAAACUCGUCUCAGACGGGAAACUCGUCUCAGACGGGAAACUCGUCUAAUAUGAAUCCGGGCGCAGACGAGUUUCCCGUCCGAACUUUCCCGUCUAACUUACCCGUCUAAACAGACGGGAAAGUUAGACGGGAAUCUCAUCUAGACGGGAAACUCGUCUUAAAUUCGAAUUUACCCAUCCCUAAAUUCAUAUUCAGACGGG
Paramuricea clavata is the source of this 223-nucleotide non-coding RNA. Lineage: Eukaryota; Metazoa; Cnidaria; Anthozoa; Malacalcyonacea; Plexauridae. The record is from the annotation of a GenBank genome assembly.